Biomphalaria glabrata is the source of this 2708-nucleotide long non-coding RNA. RefSeq lists it as uncharacterized. The transcript is spliced from 2 exons. Lineage: Eukaryota; Metazoa; Mollusca; Gastropoda; Planorbidae. The record is from RefSeq and is a predicted model, not a curated record.
UUGAUAUGAUUGUUAUAUCCCUUUGUUAUGAAUGCAAAGUGUUGCACGUGUUGUGAACUGAGUGAUUAAGUCUAUGUUGAAUGUGCGAGAGAAUGUGUUAGUCAGUAAGGUCUUGCUCCCGGUCCAGGAAGGUUGGACGUUUACUUCCUGGACUGGUAUUUAUGUAUUUAUAAGUUGAUGGACUGGUGUUUUGUUUAUUAAUAUUUACUUGAGCAAUAUUGGAUAUUAAAAUAUUGAUAUAUUCUUGGAAAUUUGGAGUUGGAGUUGAUGUGUAGGCUAUCUAGUGGUAACUGUUCUUAUUUGAGUAAUUAAACAAGUAUUGUUAGGUGUAAUUGAGUAUUCAUACCCCUAGCGAGCCUAGUCAACAAGAACAAGAGACAGAGCAUAGCAGUAGCAGCAGCAGUAUAUAUUUAUAUAAUUAAAAACCUCUGACAUCUGGAGGCUUCGUCCGGGCAGGUAUCGUUGUACCUGUUACCUGUAUUAUUAAACACCAGUGUAUUAACCGGUGUACUAAUACAGUAUUAUUCUUGACAUCUAUCUGAGGGCUAGUCCGGGCAGGUCAGUUAUACCUGUUAUGUCAUUCGUCACGUUGAAGUCGUCGAUAAGAAAAUAAAGAAUAAGCAACACAAGCAAAGAAAAGGAUACCGAAUUUUUUGAGCUUCGUCCGGUCUGGGACAGUAACUAUUGUACAUGACAUUGUCUACUCAAGUUGGAUUCAAGGCAAUCUGUAUUAUUUGUAACCUACUACUCGUUGACAUUUUGGGCCUCGUUCGGCCAGUAUUUGAGAGUCUCUUGACACAAAUUGAAGGACUUGACAUUGUUUACAUUUUUGAGAACACGGAGGAACUAUUUUUUUUCGCCAUCAACACGUUAUUGUUGAAGUCAAGGUCAUUGACUAAUGUGGACUUGUAGCUACUUCUUGUAUACCGAGGUCAUUGCGUCACCCACCAUUUAAAGGGACAUCACCAUUUAAAGAGACAUCACCAUUUAAAAGGACAUCACCAUUUAAUGAGACACUACUACUACUACUACUACUUACUUAGUAUUGGAUUAUUGGAAUUAGAGACAUCGCCAUUUAAAGAGACAUCGCCAUUUAAAGAGACAUCGCCAUUUGGAGACAUCGCCAUUUAAAGGGACAUCACCAUUUAAAAGAACAUCACCAUUUAAAAGGACAUCACCAUUUAAUGAGACACUACUACUACUACUACUACUUACUUAGUAUUGGAUUAUUGGAAUUAGAGACAUCGCCAUUUAAAGAGACAUCGCCAUUUGGAGACAUCGCCAUUUAAAGGGACAUCACCAUUUAAAGAGACACUACUACUACUAGUUUUCACUUACUAUUGAAUUAUUCUACAUGAAUGCAAUUACUCAAGUAAUCGUGAUUUAUCUACCUUUACUACAUUGAUGUUGGAUUAUUAUUAAAUUAUUGUACUACCUGACUAGAUAAUCAUUUUUUGUAUGCACCCAUUAUUAUUACUAUUAGUAUCAUAUCAAUGUUUGAAUAAUUUUGUUUUGUAUUUGUUUCAUUCUCUAAAUCUGCUGUGAGUCAUAAAGCGUUUACAAGGAGGCUGAACAGCGACCUGACACUCCAGAAGUUCUACAUUCUUAAAGCAACCCUGUCGUGUGGGAAGAGUCGUCAUUUAUUUCCUGGCAUCAGACACAGAUAAGUUGAGUUUUCUUUUGUCUGUUGUAUCGAGCAUUCAGGGUCGAGUGUACAUUGCCUUUUCAGUAGGGGAGAUAAAGGUACAUCCGAAAUAGCUUGCUGUGUGUUGCACCAAGUAGAUGGCUUCCUUCCGGUUAAGUGCAGAGAGCUGAUACAUGGAGAGUAGCAUUACUUCAUUAGUAGCGUGAGUGUCCAACGCCUAGACAGAUACCUCUGAUACCCAGGAGGAUGCACAAUUCAGUUUGACCACAGACCAUUGUCUACUAGCAGAUACACUGUCAAGACUUAGCAUAUUUGUAUUAGUUAUAAUUGGUAAAAUUUUUUUUUUUCCCAAUACAAUGUGAAACGUGCCUUUAACUAUUAGAGAUGGUAUCUUGUCGUAUAUUAUUGCCAUACAUAAGAGUUGAUCUUUUCUUGUAUGUUUGCUGUUUUACAUAUUAAAUAUUAACGUGGAAAGGACUAGGCUUGCCGACUUCAAAUUGUAAUUAACUCUCCAUGCCACUAUUUUUUUUUCUCAUUUAUUCUUUUCUCUCUUUCCCUUUGUUGUAAAUAGCUGGACAUAUUUCUUCUGUUAGGUUUAUAAGGGCUAUUUCACUUUCAUGUACAUUAUAUACAUUUGUGUGUAGAUAUAUAUGUUUAUAUAUAUAUGUAUAUAAGUAUGUGUAUGACACAGUGUGUGUAUGUAUGUAUAUUUAUGUAUAUAUUUGAAUGACUGUUAUCUAAUAACAUCUAAUAUCAGUCAUAUCGUGAGAGGGGGGAUGUCAGGGAGAGGUAUGGCGAGAAUGAAUGUUAGUUUGAUAUGAUUGUUAUAUCCCUUUGUUAUGAAUGCGAAGUGUUGCACGUGUUGUGAACUGAGUGAUUAAGUCUAUGUUGAAUGUGCGAGAGAAUGUGUUAGUCAGUAAGGUCUUGCUCCCGGUCCAGGAAGGUUGGACGUUUACUUCCUGGACUGGUAUUUAUGUAUUUAUAAGUUGAUGGACUGGUGUUUUGUUUAUUAAUAUUUACUUGAGCAAUAUUGGAUAUUAAAAUAUUGAUAUAUUCUUGGAAA